RNAcentral lists this long non-coding RNA (3297 nucleotides) under Homo sapiens (human). Its description in RNAcentral is "long independently transcribed non-coding RNA 987, transcript variant 5 (LINC00987)". Lineage: Eukaryota; Metazoa; Chordata; Mammalia; Primates; Hominidae. The record is from RNAcentral.
CAGCUGCCCGCUUGCCCGUAGCUGACUCAGCUCCCUCAUCUUCAUCUCCAUCCUCUUCCUCACCAUCACCUUCUUCCUCCCCACCUUCUUCCUCUUCUUCAUCUACCUCGUUGUCAGCCUCCGGCUCCCCAUUUUCCUCAUUAGCAUUCCCGUGAGCAGGGGCGUCUCUUCCAUUUUCCGCCUCUUCCACAACUUCCUUCUUCUCCUUUAAGUCCUCGGUGGUGAUUUCGGAGCUGGUGUCUACGGCUGCGUCUGACAUGGUGGGGCACGCCGGUGACGCGAUGCAGGGGAUAAAAAAGAAAGCGACAGUUCAGGGACUCUGGCGAUAAAGCUGCCGGAGUCCGCGGCGGCGGAGGCGGCUGCGGCGAGCAAGGAGGCUGACGACGCACAAUGCAAAGACGGCUUUUCAGAGCAGCCAGUGGGGCAGGACAAUGUUUUUCAUCAAAUGUCCUUAGAUUUGGAGGAGGUUUCCCCAGUGUAUCCAGUGGUUGUCUUCCUCUUGAUUAAUAUUAAAGGAGGAGAAAAAGUGUGUAUUGGGGUCAGUGCAGAAAACAAAUCAUCCAAGCACACGAAGUGGAAUUUGCUAAUAGCAUUACUACUCACCCAGUGACUUCGGAGUCACAACCCAGGACACGGUUUUCCGCCCAUUUCUACAGACACAGUGAGAUUCUUCAUUCUUCUCUGUUGGAACAGCCAGGAAAGCGGAAGAGACCUCCAGCUGCACAACGACCUGUCCCCCACACCCAACCACAAGUUUAUGAAGGGAUGCAGAACAGCAUGAAUACUGCAAAAGAUGCUCUGUGCAUCAGGGUGUGAAGAGGAUACUGACCCACCAGAAAGAGACCCCACUGCUAGAACGAAUAAGAUGUGCUGAAAGCCGGAGCAUAACUUGGCCAUUCCCAAGAUUUAACAACAAACUAACUACCCAUCAUUAACAGUAAAGAAAGAAAACAAUCAGUAAGAGAUUAUAUAGACCUAAGAGAUGUUACAGACCGAAGAAGAACCUAUGGAGGAAGACAGGAAGAUGAGAGAGAUUUGAAGAUGGUAUGUGGCUGAAUUUGAAGAUAGAGAAAGGAACCGCAAGCAAAGAAUGCAAGAGGUCUCUAGAAGCUGGAAAAGGCAAGGAAAGAGUCUCCCCUCAAGCUCCAGCAGGAAUGCAGUCCUGACACCUUGAGUUUAGCCUAGUGAGACUUCUGACCUCCAGAACUAGAAGAUACAAGUGGUGUUUUAAGGCACUAAAACGAAGAACUAGAAGUAUUGUUUUAAGCCCAUAAAUUUGUGAUAAUCUGUUACAGUAGUAAUAGGCAAUGCAUACACAAGCACACAAAGUAAAAUUUUUCUGUGGUUAUUUUCCAUAUUUUUUCAGUUAUUUUCUGCCUUUUGAAGACAUUAAAGACAUAAAAUGAAUAUGUAUUAGUUUAGGAAUAAAAUUUAAAAUGUAGGAAUGCUAUAAAAGAAGAAAAAAUUUUAACUGGGCUAAAGCAAACCCAGUAUGUCAUCCUAUUACAUCAGCUUCUUCAUCUUUGGAUGAAGAGGUUGGUGACUGUUUCUUCUAAUGUGAGAAUAGCUCCAAAUUGCUAAAUUGUUCAGAAUUUGACAAGAUGAAAGAGGAAAGAAAAAGGAAAUCUUGAAAACAUUUACUGUUUCCUUGUUCAAUGGAUAACACAUGGAUUCCUGAUUGGGAGAUUUUUCCUCUUGCUUUGAUCUGAAGGCAGAAGGAAAUAUAUUCAUUAUUGUUUAAAAGAAUACAUUUUAACCUAACUUUAAAACAUUCAUGAUAUAUUUGUGAACCAUAAUCUUAUUACCCCAACCUAGAAGUUAUUUUGAUCACUAAACUUCCUUUUCAAUAUCUUCAUAUAUGUGUCUUUACAUACUUUAAAUAAAAAAUAUAUAAUUGUAUAACGUUUUAUUAUUUUAUUUAAUAUUUAUCACUUCUAAUAAAUAUAUGUAAAUAUGUAAACAGAAUUUAUGUAUUUUUUCAACAAACAUUUCAAACAUCUACCUUAUGCAAAGCAAUAUAUAGUGAAGGCAGAUAUAAAGUAUAAAUAAGUAUUCUCUAAUAUUGCCUCUAUUUUAAAAAAACUAAAUGUAUUGAGCAUUCUCUAUAUGCCAGGAACUGAACUAAGUAAUUUACUGUUAAUUUACACUAUAAUUCCAUGAAGUAGGUAUUAAUAUUAUCUCCAGGACUAAAGUGAGAUGAUUGACAUUUCUCUUUCCAGAUGAAAUUAGGUAAGUUAUCCAAGGUCAUGUAUCUAGGAAGCAAUAAAUCUAGGAAAUUCAAAUUUAUUGUUAAUUUUUCUAUUUUUUUAUGGAAUUAAGAAAAUGUUAUUUAUAGUUAAUGCUCUUAUACAGAAUUCCCUAUAUUUAACUUUUUCUUCUUAAAAUGACUUAUUUGAGUAACUAUGAGCCUUGGACAUUUUCAAUUUGGGGGCAUUCGUGGGAAUAUUGGCCUCAAAAGUAUCACUCCAAUUUAUAGUCUGCCUGUUAAUAUACCUUUUCCUUGCAAUCACACCAGUCAUGAGCUUUGUAAAAUAAUUAGAAUUGAAUAUUUUUCCAGAAGAUUGUUUAUAAGUUUUAUUUCCUUUUGAAUGAGUUCAUGGUUCUUAGCUUUUGCUUCUUUAUCUACUGAGUUCUAAGAAAACAUUUUCUCUUUGACUAAAAACAUUUUAUCCUAGGCUCUUUCCUCUCCUGCUCAAUAAGUUGCCAUUGGAACUCUGCAAGGAAAAAUUCUAAAAGUUUCAGUGGUGAAUAGAGCAUAAAUGAGAAAUUAAAGCAUUAAUAUUUGUUAGGAAGUAACUUCUCUUCUAGCACAAAAACAAUACAAAAUAUAUUAUUGUUAUCUUAUAAAUGGCAUUACUUAGACAGGAACCCAGCAAUUUUGGAGUCUACACAAUCAGAAGGAGCUACAGUGGGUCUUAUUCUUACCAAAUAGUAGAAGGUUAAUUCUUUUUCAUCCCUGAGAAUCUGUUUAUUCAGAAUGUAGUGUGCUUGAAUCUCCUGGGUUUGUCCACAGGUCAAAGUACCAAUAAUAGGUUUGAGGUGAAUAUAACUCUUGCUUGGGGAAAAAAAAUGCUUUGCAGUAUGAGAUGUUUGCGUAUGAAAUUCAUCAAGCCACCAGUUAUCAGAACAAUUGUUACUCUCUUUGUAUUUGACCUAAUGGAAGAAUAAAUAAGCUGUUUUAUAUAUAAUAUAUAUAUGAUUGCAAAAAUAUAUAAAAAUAUGCAUAUUAUAUAUGUUUGUAUAUAUAUACAUAAAGCAAUAUAAUAAAGCCAUAUAAGAAGGCUGCUUUCUUAAAUA